AGGCAGCAGUAAGGAAUAUUGGUCAAUGGACGCAAGUCUGAACCAGCCAUGCCGCGUGAAGGAUGAAGGCCCUCUGGGUUGUAAACUUCUUUUAUCUGGGACGAAAAAGGGGCUUUCUAGCUCAACUGACGGUACCAGAGGAAUAAGCACCGGCUAACUCCGUGCCAGCAGCCGCGGUAAUACGGAGGGUGCAAGCGUUAUCCGGAUUUACUGGGUUUAAAGGGUGCGUAGGUGGGUAAGUAAGUCAGUGGUGAAAUCUUCAAGCUUAACUUGGAAACUGCCAUUGAUACUAUUUAUCUUGAAUACUCUGGAGGUAAGCGGAAUAUGUCAUGUAGCGGUGAAAUGCUUAGAUAUGACAUAGAACACCAAUUGCGAAGGCAGCUUACUACAUAGUUAUUGACACUGAGGCACGAAAGCGUGGGGAUCAAACAGGAUUAGAUACCCUGGUAG
RNAcentral lists this ribosomal RNA (450 nucleotides) under uncultured bacterium. RNAcentral describes it as "bacterial SSU rRNA". It matches the Rfam family "Bacterial small subunit ribosomal RNA", at positions 346 to 793 of the family's 1533-position model. The record is from RNAcentral.